This 253-nucleotide ribosomal RNA is filed under the name uncultured bacterium. Its description in RNAcentral is "partial 16S ribosomal RNA". It matches the Rfam family "Bacterial small subunit ribosomal RNA", at positions 524 to 776 of the family's 1533-position model. The record is from RNAcentral.
UACGGGGGGUGCAAACGUUGCUCGGAAUCAUUGGGCGUAAAGCGCACGUAGGCGGCUCGUUAAGUCGGAUGUGAAAGCCCUGGGCUUAACCCAGGAAGUGCAUACGAAACUGGCGAGCUUGAAUAUGGAAGAGGGUCGCGGAAUUCCCGGUGUAGAGGUGAAAUUCGUAGAUAUCGGGAGGAACACCAGUGGCGAAGGCGGCCCCCUGGACCGGUACUGACGCUGAGGCGCGAAAGCGUGGGUAGCAAACGGG